CUCGUCUGAUUAUCAGUUUCAUGUUGAUGGACUGAGCAUGGGAGAUUUUCAAGUGAACAUUACAUCGUCUUGGAUAACCCAAGGACUGUUUUGUAUCAGUCAAUGGUGAAUACUGAUGGUUUUUAAGACCAGAUAGUAUGGCUGUCCUGAGAGCAUGGGGCCAAUGUCUGUCAGUAAUCCUUACCGAGUACGUUCUUUUCCUGGCGAAAACAGAAGCUCAGUGCCAACUUGCCCACUCCUCAAACCAAAAGCAUCAGUACAGGGUGCCCAAGCUGACCUCGGUAUUCCUCGACGAUCCCUCUCUACAACAACCAUCAAAACGGGAUCGCGGAAUUGUGUUACAUAUUGUCCAGACUGACCACUGGAUAUCAGUUGUGACAGGUAAGUACGUUUUCGAAUACCAUCUCACGUAUUCUGCUUUGUUCCCAAACCAAGGCGAGCAUAGACAUCAUCUCUGUACUGUACUAACAGUUAUGAAAACAUCACAUUUUAGCAACACUGCGUGGGUGACAUGUAUCGUUUUCAUUCUCGAUAUGAACUGACAAAUUAUUGUUAGAAAGAGGAGGUACGUGUACGUGUAUAUAGCGAUCGCUGUUUAUGUGUGCUCAUAUCUUAAAAACUAA
Molecule: long non-coding RNA, 623 nt
Organism: Liolophura sinensis
Lineage: Eukaryota; Metazoa; Mollusca; Polyplacophora; Chitonida; Chitonidae
Exons: 3
Source: RefSeq, a predicted model, not a curated record